GAUGAACGCUGGCGGCGUGCCUAAUACAUGCAAGUCGAGCGAACAGAUAAGGAGCUUGCUCCUUUGACGUUAGCGGCGGACGGGUGAGUAACACGUGGGUAACCUACCUAUAAGACUGGGAUAACUUCGGGAAACCGGAGCUAAUACCGGAUAACAUUUGGAACCGCAUGGUUCUAAAGUGAAAGAUGGUUUUGCUAUCACUUAUAGAUGGACCCGCGCCGUAUUAGCUAGUUGGUAAGGUAACGGCUUACCAAGGCAACGAUACGUAGCCGACCUGAGAGGGUGAUCGGCCACACUGGAACUGAGACACGGUCCAGACUCCUACGGGAGGCAGCAGUAGGGAAUCUUCCGCAAUGGGCGAAAGCCUGACGGAGCAACGCCGCGUGAGUGAUGAAGGGGUUCGGCUCGUAAAACUCUGUUAUUAGGGAAGAACAAACGUGUAAGUAACUGUGCACGUCUUGACGGCACCUAAUCAGAAAGCCACGGCUAACUACGUG
This 497-nucleotide ribosomal RNA is filed under the name uncultured bacterium. Its description in RNAcentral is "partial 16S ribosomal RNA". It matches the Rfam family "Bacterial small subunit ribosomal RNA", at positions 28 to 507 of the family's 1533-position model. The record is from RNAcentral.